CCUACGUGAGGCAGCAGUGGGGAAUAUUGCACAAUGGGGGAAACCCUGAUGCAGCGACGCCGCGUGAGUGAAGAAGUACUUCGUUAUGUAAAGCUCUAUCAGCAGGGAAGAAAAUGACGGUACCUGCGUAAGACGCCCCGGCUAACUACGUGCCAGCAGCCGCGGUAAUACGUAGGGGGCAAGCGUUAUCCGGAUUUACUGGGUGUACAGGGAGCGUAGACGGCAGUGCAAGUCUGGAGUGAAAGGCGGGGGCUCAACCCCCGGACUGCUCUGGAAACUGUACGGCUGGAGUGCAGGAGAGGUAAGUGGAAUUCCUAGUGUAGCGGUGAAAUGCGUAGAUAUUAGGAGGAACACCAGUGGCGAAGGCAGCUUACUGGACUGUAACUGACGUUGAGGCUCGAAAGCGUGGGGAGCAAACAGGAUUAGAUACCCCAGUAGUC
RNAcentral lists this ribosomal RNA (440 nucleotides) under uncultured bacterium. RNAcentral's name for it is "partial 16S ribosomal RNA". It matches the Rfam family "Bacterial small subunit ribosomal RNA", at positions 338 to 795 of the family's 1533-position model. The record is from RNAcentral.